UACGUAGGGUGCAAGCGUUGUCCGGAAUUAUUGGGCGUAAAGAGCUCGUAGGCGGCUUGUCACGUCUGCUGUGAAAACUCGGGGCUCAACCCCGAGCCUGCAGUGGAUACGGGCUAGCUAGAGUGCGGUAGGGGAGACUGGAAUUCCUGGUGUAGCGGUGAAAUGCGCAGAUAUCAGGAGGAACACCGGUGGCGAAAGCGGCUUCCUGGUCCGACACCGACGUUCAGGCACGAAAGCGUGGGGAGCAAACAGG
Molecule: ribosomal RNA, 253 nt
Filed under: uncultured bacterium
Lineage: Bacteria
Description: partial 16S ribosomal RNA
Rfam family: Bacterial small subunit ribosomal RNA
Source: RNAcentral